GCCUUUAUAGUGUAAAUGGAAGCACGUCUGGUUAGCAAACGGGAGAUCUGGAGCUCGAGUUCCAGUGAAGGCA
RNAcentral lists this transfer RNA (73 nucleotides) under Stegodyphus mimosarum. It matches the Rfam family "tRNA". Rfam says of the family: Transfer RNA (tRNA) molecules are approximately 80 nucleotides in length. Their secondary structure includes four short double-helical elements and three loops (D, anti-codon, and T loops). Further hydrogen bonds mediate the characteristic L-shaped molecular structure. tRNAs have two regions of fundamental functional importance: the anti-codon, which is responsible for specific mRNA codon recognition, and the 3' end, to which the tRNAs corresponding amino acid is attached (by aminoacyl-tRNA synthetases). tRNAs cope with the degeneracy of the genetic code in two manners: having more than one tRNA (with a specific anti-codon) for a particular amino acid; and 'wobble' base-pairing, i.e. permitting non-standard base-pairing at the 3rd anti-codon position. The record is from Rfam by way of RNAcentral. Lineage: Eukaryota; Metazoa; Arthropoda; Arachnida; Araneae; Eresidae.